This 708-nucleotide long non-coding RNA is filed under the name Medicago truncatula (barrel medic). RNAcentral describes it as "lncRNA gene44436". The record is from RNAcentral. Lineage: Eukaryota; Viridiplantae; Streptophyta; Magnoliopsida; Fabales; Fabaceae.
CCCAAGCAAUCAUCUUGUAUCAAUUAUGAAAUUCAAGUAACAUGUUAAGACAAACACAAAAUAAGAAGAUUUGAUAGCAGUGAAAUGUUCAAAAACAAAAACAACAGCAAAAUAACAAAACAUUUACUUGGCCGAAUCCUCAAGUAUUCCAAGAGCUAAUAAUAGAUCGACACCAAAUUAUACUAAAAAUAAAACCUAUUCAUCAAACAAGCCGAAUCCCAUUUCCUCAUCACUCUCUUCUUCCUCUGGCUCUGGUUUCUUCUCGGCAGCAGCUGGAGCAGCAGCGGCACCACCACCUGAUGCUGCAGCUGGAGCAGCGGCAACAGCUACUCCGGGAGCACCACCUCCAGCAGCACUGGCAAUCAAAUCCCUAAUAUUUUUCUUUUCAGCAAGUUUAGCGAAUAAAGCAGGCCAGAAAGAUUCAACAUCAACCUUUGCGGAUUUCAACAAAGAGGUUAUGUUGUCAGCAGUUGCUGGAAUGUUGUCAUCUUCAAGGAUGAGAAGGGCGUAUGAGCAAGCAGUUUCUCCGAGCGACAUUUUCACACUACAUACAAAUUAUCACACCACCAAUCAAGAUCUGUAAGGAAGGAAUAAUGAUAUUCAAAUUCUAAUUCCAAUAACAAAAACAAAAGCAGUGUUACCUGAAAUUGGAACCAAAUGAGAUCGGAGACGACGAGAAGAAGAGUAAGGAGGAGGAGAGUUUCGCAG